Molecule: long non-coding RNA, 707 nt
Filed under: Homo sapiens (human)
Lineage: Eukaryota; Metazoa; Chordata; Mammalia; Primates; Hominidae
Description: non-protein coding lnc-ZNF33B-3:5
Source: RNAcentral
CACCUGGACCCUAGUCAGAGGGCUCUGUAUAGAGAUGUGAUGCUGGAGAACUACAGCAACCUUGUCUCAGUGGGGUAUUGUGCUCACAAACCAGAGGUGAUCUUCAGGCUGGAACAAGGAGAAGAACCAUGGAGACUGGAGGAAGAAUUCCCAAGCCAGAGCUUUCCAGAAGUCUGGACAGCUGAUCACCUGAAAGAGAGGAGCCAAGAAAAUCAAUCUAAACAUUUGUGGGAAGUUGUAUUCAUCAAUAAUGAAAUGCUGACUAAGGAACAAGGCCCCUGAGGUGUUCAUGCACUGAUCCUGGACCUUGGAUUAAACCCUUGCAGUGCUGGAAGAAGAGGACUCUGCACUGCCUGCCACACCAGGACUGGAAGAUCAAUGGCCUUCCCUUCUUCCAAACUACCUUCCCAUGAGGUGGGGAUGGUGGUCACAUCUCCAACACUGGCGUGCUGUGGAAGAGACAUCAGCAUUCUCUGCAACAAAUUUGGAAACAGCCUAAAGAGACGUUUCUACUUCAAAGAGAUGCACUGAGGAAGUGCACUGGCACUGCUGGGGACUCACCUGGGGCCCAGGGCUGAGGCUUCUCGUGUCCUUGGAGCUGCUGUCCUCCCGAGGAGCGUCCACACUGCAGCCAGCUCAGCCUCAGGUGUCCUAUCUGGUUUUGAAACCAAAUCUAAGUGGGAAAAGAAGAUUCAAGUUUUAUCCGA